This 253-nucleotide ribosomal RNA is filed under the name uncultured bacterium. RNAcentral describes it as "partial 16S ribosomal RNA". It matches the Rfam family "Bacterial small subunit ribosomal RNA", at positions 524 to 776 of the family's 1533-position model. The record is from RNAcentral.
UACGUAGGGUGCGAGCGUUAAUCGGAAUUACUGGGCGUAAAGCGUGCGCAGGCGGUUAUGCAAGACAGAUGUGAAAUCCCCGGGCUCAACCUGGGAACUGCAUUUGUGACUGUAGAGCUGGAGUACGGUAGAGGGGGAUGGAAUUCCGCGUGUAGCAGUGAAAUGCGUAGAUAUGCGGAGGAACACCGAUGGCGAAGGCAGCCCCCUGGGCUAACACUGACGCUCAGGCACGAAAGCGUGGGGAGCAAACAGG